UACGUAGGGGCUAGCGUUAUCCGGAAUUACUGGGCGUAAAGGGUGCGUAGGCGGUCUUUCAAGCCAGAAGUGAAAGGCUACGGCUCAACCGUAGUAAGCUUUUGGAACUGUGAGACUUGAGUGCAGGAGAGGAGAGUGGAAUUCCUAGUGUAGCGGUGAAAUGCGUAGAUAUUAGGAGGAACACCAGUAGCGAAGGCGGCUCUCUGGACUGUAACUGACGCUGAGGCACGAAAGCGUGGGGAGCAAACAGGAUUAGAUACCCCUGUAGUCCCU
RNAcentral lists this ribosomal RNA (273 nucleotides) under uncultured prokaryote. RNAcentral's name for it is "partial 16S ribosomal RNA". It matches the Rfam family "Bacterial small subunit ribosomal RNA", at positions 524 to 798 of the family's 1533-position model. The record is from RNAcentral.